GACGAACGCUGGCGGCGUGCCUAACACAUGCAAGUCGAGCGAGGUCCAUCCGGUGGCAACACUGGUGAAGACCUAGCGGCGAACGGGUGAGUAACACGUGAGAAACCUGCCCCGAAGACCGGGAUAACCCUCCGAAAGGAGAGCUAAUACCGGAUGCCCUCACCGGGCCGCAUGACCUGGUGAGGAAAUGGAUUCCGCUUCGGGGGGGUCUCGCGGCCUAUCAGCUUGUUGGUGAGGUAAUGGCUCACCAAGGCUUCGACGGGUAGCUGGUCUGAGAGGAUGAUCAGCCACACUGGGACUGAGACACGGCCCAGACUCCUACGGGAGGCAGCAGUGGGGAAUCUUGCGCAAUGGGCGAAAGCCUGACGCAGCAACGCCGCGUGGGGGAUGAAGGCUCUCGGGUUGUAAACCCCUUUCAGCAGGGAAGAUUAUGACGGUACCUGCAGAAGAAGCCCCGGCCAACUACGUGCCAGCCGCCGCCGUAA
Molecule: ribosomal RNA, 485 nt
Filed under: uncultured bacterium
Lineage: Bacteria
Description: partial 16S ribosomal RNA
Rfam family: Bacterial small subunit ribosomal RNA
Source: RNAcentral